CAAUAGCGUAUAUUAAAGCUGUUGCGGUUAAAAAGCUCGUAGUUGGAUUUCUGUCAAGGACAACUGGUCCGCCCUCCGGGUGAGCACAUAGUUUGGUCUUGACAUCUUGCUGGAAGCUGUUGCUGCACUUGGCUGUGUGGCGCAGUGUUCAGCACUUUCACUUUGAGGAAAUUGGAGUGUUUCAAGCAGGCACAUGCCUUUGGACACAGUAGCAUGGAAUAAUUAGAUUGGGCUUUUGCUCCAAUUUGUCGGUUUCUGGAGCUGAGGUGAGUAUUAAUGGGGAUUGUUGGGGGUAUCCGAAUUUAGCCGUCAGAGGUGAAAUUCUUGGAUCUGCUAAAGACGGACAACUGCGAAAGCGUUUGCCCAGGAUGUUUUCAUUGA
RNAcentral lists this ribosomal RNA (381 nucleotides) under uncultured eukaryote. RNAcentral's name for it is "partial 18S ribosomal RNA". It matches the Rfam family "Eukaryotic small subunit ribosomal RNA", at positions 592 to 976 of the family's 1831-position model. The record is from RNAcentral.